RNAcentral lists this ribosomal RNA (305 nucleotides) under uncultured bacterium. Its description in RNAcentral is "bacterial SSU rRNA". It matches the Rfam family "Bacterial small subunit ribosomal RNA", at positions 336 to 639 of the family's 1533-position model. The record is from RNAcentral.
CGCCUACGGGGGGCAGCAGUGAGGAAUAUUUGUCAAUGGCCGGAAGGCUGAACCAGCCAAGUCGCGUGAGGGACGACUGCCCUAUGGGUUGUAAACCUCUUUUAUAAGGGAAGAAUAAAUGCUACGUGUAGCAUGAUGCCUGUACCUUAUGAAUAAGCAUCGGCUAACUCCGUGCCAGCAGCCGCGGUAAUACGGAGGAUGCGAGCGUUAUCCGGAUUUAUUGGGUUUAAAGGGUGCGUAGGCGGUAUUUUAAGUUAGUGGUAAAACGUCGGGGCUUCACCUUGAUUGGCCAUUAAAACUGGAGU